Molecule: ribosomal RNA, 252 nt
Filed under: uncultured Coriobacteriales bacterium
Lineage: Bacteria; Bacillati; Actinomycetota; Coriobacteriia; Coriobacteriales
Description: partial 16S ribosomal RNA
Rfam family: Bacterial small subunit ribosomal RNA
Source: RNAcentral
UACGUAGGGAGCAAGCGUUAUCCGGAUUUAUUGGGCGUAAAGCGCGCGUAGGCGGCUUGUUAAGUCAGGUGUUAAAGGCAAGGGCUCAACCCCUGUUCGCACCUGAAACUGGCAGGCUUGAGUUUGGUAGAGGAAAACGGAAUUCCCAGUGUAGCGGUGAAAUGCGCAGAUAUUGGGAAGAACACCGGUGGCGAAGGCGGUUUUCUGGGCCACAACUGACGCUGAGGUGCGAAAGCUAGGGGAGCAAACAGG